ACUCCUGCGGGAGGCAGCAGUGGGGAAUAUUGGACACUGGGCGCAAGCCUGAUCCAGCCAUGCCGCGUGAGUGAUGAAGGCCCUAGGGUUGUAAAGCUCUUUCACCGGAGAAGAUAAUGACGGUAUCCGGAGAAGAAGCCCCGGCUAACUUCGUGCCAGCAGCCGCGGUAAUACGAAGGGGGCUAGCGUUGUUCGGAAUUACUGGGCGUAAAGCGCACGUAGGCGGAUCGAUCAGUCAGGGGUGAAAUCCCAGGGCUCAACCCUGGAACUGCCUUUGAUAAUGUCGAUCUGGAGUAUGGAAGAGGUGAGUGGAAUUCCGAGUGUAGAGGUGAAAUUCGUAGAUAUUCGGAGGAACACCAGUGGCGAAGGCGGCUCACUGGUCCAUUACUGACGCUGAGGUGCGAAAGCGUGGGGAGCAAACAGGAUUAGAAACCCUAGUAGUCCCAUG
RNAcentral lists this ribosomal RNA (448 nucleotides) under uncultured organism. RNAcentral's name for it is "partial 16S ribosomal RNA". It matches the Rfam family "Bacterial small subunit ribosomal RNA", at positions 335 to 799 of the family's 1533-position model. The record is from RNAcentral.